UCAAGAGAAUGAGAAUCAGCAGACAACCUCUAUCAUAAUCAUAGAUGAAAAAUCCUAACCAAUAUAUUAGCAAACUGAAUCAAGCUAUAUGUGAAAAGAAUAAUUUAAGUGUCGUGACCAAGUGAAGUUUAAUUACAAGAGAAGCUCCUCAAGGCUGCUCCCAGUUCCUGGGCACACGGUCUUUCUCAACGCGGCCACCUGCUUCACUAAGCCAGCGAAGACCCCUGGAGCUGUCCGCCAGCAAGAUGGAGGCUCCCAUGACAUCACACAUCAUGGGCGUGGCCUGCAUCUCCGGUUUGUCCUCUUGCGGAGAAGAGAGCCUCGCAGCCUUGAUGAACUGCCUCAAGUCCUUGCUGUUGCUGGAUCGGGUCCUCACUGAGAACGGAAACUGUGAUUACAUAGCAAAAAAUGAGAUGUUUCAAAAUAAUUCUAAAUCAAUAUUUCUCUGGCUCAACAACUGAGAAAUGGCAUCUAAUAUGCAUGCUGCUGAAGUGGGGCUGGCAGUCAAGAACCAGGAAAAUGAAAGAGAACAGAAAACAUCAGAUGCAAAUAAAACUGUGAUGUUUCCCUUGAUCACAUCCCCCAAGAAGAGAAACGUCAAUUCCCAGUAAAGGUGGAGAAUAACUAUCCCGAGCUUUGGGUGCCACAGACAAAAAAGACAACGGUUGCCUCUGAUCUGUAGCAGAAGGUGGAUUAAAAUGGUCCUGGAAGGUUCUACUUGAACAUAAGAGUAAACCCACAGUGAACUCUGAUGACUGCAUAGAAAGUCUUGUCAAUCUUGGCCUGAAGAUAUGGAUCAGUGCUAAAAACAAAAAGCCACAUGACCUCCUGACAGAAAAUAAUUCUAUCACAAAGGCAAGACUUUGACAGCACCACCUUCCAUUUUGCUUAAUCAUAAAAUCAUCAAUUCCAGAAAAACGGAGUCAAUCAACAUAUUAAAGUGGAAUCUGAAAAACAAAACAAACGAACAAACACAGAAAACCAAAAAGACAGAUAUAGGAAGCAAACUCGUGGUUGCCAGAGGGAAGAGGUAGGGGAAUGGGUGAAACAGGAAAAGGAGAUUAAGAGGUACAAACCUUUAGUUAUAAAAUAAGUGAGUCACUGGGUUGAAAAGGACAGCAUAGGGAAUAUAGUUAACAAUAUUGUAAUAAUGUUGUAUAGUGACAGUGACAGAUGGUAACUACACUUACUGUGGUGAGCACUGAGUAAUGUACAGAAUUGUUAAAUCACUGUGUUGUAUACCUGAUACUAAUGUAACAGUGUAUGUCAACUAUAUAAAAAGUCAUGUCC
Molecule: long non-coding RNA, 1290 nt
Organism: Neofelis nebulosa (Clouded leopard)
Lineage: Eukaryota; Metazoa; Chordata; Mammalia; Carnivora; Felidae
Exons: 5
Source: RefSeq, a predicted model, not a curated record